This 1047-nucleotide unclassified non-coding RNA is filed under the name Hevea brasiliensis (rubber tree). The record is from RNAcentral. Lineage: Eukaryota; Viridiplantae; Streptophyta; Magnoliopsida; Malpighiales; Euphorbiaceae.
GGAGAUUCAUAGGGAUUGGAGCAAGGAUGAUUAACAUAUAAACUUCCUGUUUAGAGUCUACAUCCCUGAUCAGGCACAAAAAAAAAAUUUAUGAGCAAUUAUAAUAUGGUCUUUCCUUCGUUGUAUUGGGCUGUUAUGUUUUUACCAUGGGAAUAAAAUACAGACAUCAUUUUCAGAUGCUUUUUAACCCCUAAAUUCUCCUGUUGAACUCAUUUUAGCUCAAAUCUAGAUUUUUCCAUUCCUGUAUUAAGAAUAAAAAGAAGGGUUAUUUUUUUGAGGAUCUCUCCAAGCCUUUUUGGUGUUUUGGCAUUAAUGGUACAUCUAUAUAGUUGAAUGUUGUGAACCAUUCUGAUCAUUUUAGCAGACUAUAUUUGGUUUGGAAGGAGCAUUAGAAUUUAGCACUACUCUGAAAAGAAGUGUUUUGUGGUCAGAAAUGGCAUAUGAAGCCUGUUAGACAGGUGGGUAUUUCAAGUCUUCUUUUGAAGAAAAACUAAAAAGAAGCUCAAGUUCAAUUCUGUUUAAAUGAAGAAACAUGGAAGAUUUUGUUUGGGGAGGAUUGGGCUACACACAAACAGGUGAGACCCACUCACCUGAUGGGAUACACAGGUGGAGUCCACCUGUUUGUAUGUGUGGCCAGGCACACAGAAGAACUUCUCUUUUUUGUUUAGCAAACCAUGAAUCCUGAUGAUGAUUAGAUGAAAGUCCUCAAGAUUCCAUGCGCAAGCUGGCUCAUUUCAUUUGGAUCUGAUUAUAACCUUUGGACUGUGGCACUGAAUCCCUUAAUGGCCGCCAAUAACAGCUGCAUAAAUCAACAUAUGAAGAAGCCAACUGGGUCAUGGUAAUUGUAAAAGAAUCCUAUUUUUCCCAGAGUCUCAUCUCAGCUGGCAAGAUUAUUUGCCAUGAAUUGGACUAUAUUCAGAUGAAGCUUCACUGGUUUUGUUCUAGAGUAGUUACAGUAACAUUAGUGGAUGUACCAGGGUUGGUCUUUUUAUUGAUAUUUCUAUAAAGAAAGUAUCAACCCUUCAUUUAUUCUUUUUCCAUAAUAAG